GAUGAAGAACGUAGCGAAAUGCGAUAAGUAAUGCGAAUUGCAGAAUUCCAGUGAGUCAUCGAAUCUUUGAACGCACAUUGCGCCCGCCAGCAUUCUGGCGGGCAUGCCUGUUCGAGCGUCAUUUCAACCCUCGACCUCCCUUUGGGGAAGUCGGCGUUGGGGACCGGCAGCACACCGCCGGCCCUGAAAUGGAGUGGCGGCCCGUCCGCGGCGACCUCUGCGUAGUAAACCAACUCGCACCGGAACCCCGACGUGGCCACGCCGUAAAACACCCAACUUCUGAACGUUGACCUCGAAUCAGGUAGGACUACCCGCUGAACUUAAGCAUAUCAAUAAGCGGAGGA
RNAcentral lists this unclassified non-coding RNA (344 nucleotides) under soil metagenome. RNAcentral describes it as "partial contains 5.8S ribosomal RNA, internal transcribed spacer 2, and large subunit ribosomal RNA". The stretch from base 1 to 121 matches the Rfam family "5.8S ribosomal RNA", at positions 35 to 154 of the family's 154-position model. The record is from RNAcentral.